GAUGAAGAACGUAGCAAAAUGCGAUAAGUAAUGUGAAUUGCAGAAUUCAGUGAAUCAUCGAAUCUUUGAACGCACAUUGCGCCCGCCAGUAUUCUGGCGGGCAUGCCUGUUCGAGCGUCAUUUCAACCCUCAAGCCCUCGGGUUUGGUGUUGGGGAUCGGCGAGCCUUUCUGGCAAGCCGGCCCCGAAAUCUAGUGGCGGUCUCGCUGCAGCCUCCAUUGCGUAGUAGUAAAACCCUCGCAACUGGAACGCGGCGCGGCCAAGCCGUUAAACCCCCAACUUCUGAAUGUUGACCUCGGAUCAGGUAGGAAUACCCGCUGGACUUAAGCAUAUCAAUAAGCGGAGGA
Molecule: unclassified non-coding RNA, 346 nt
Filed under: soil metagenome
Description: partial contains 5.8S ribosomal RNA, internal transcribed spacer 2, and large subunit ribosomal RNA
Rfam family: 5.8S ribosomal RNA (bases 1-120)
Source: RNAcentral